GAUGAACGCUGGCGGCGUGCCUAAUACAUGCAAGUCGAACGCAUUGUGGUUGAAAUGAUAUGAAGAACUUGUUCAGAUUUGAUUUUCAACAUUGCAAUGAGUGGCGAACGGGUGAGUAACACGUGGGAAACCUACCUCUUAGCAGGGAUAACAUUUGGAAACAAAUGCUAAUACCGUAUAAUAAUUAAAACCGCAUGGUUUUAGUUUAAAAGAUGGUCUUGCUAUCACUAAGAGAUGGUCCCGCGGUGUAUUAGUUAGUUGGUGAGGUAAUGGCUCACCAAGACAAUGAUACAUAGGCCGAGUUGAGAGACUGACGCACAUGGGACUGAGACACGGCCCAUACUCCUACGGGAGGCAGCAGUAGGGAAUCUUCCACAAUGGACAAAGUCUGAUGGAGCAACGCCGCGUGUGUGAUGAAGGUUU
Molecule: ribosomal RNA, 423 nt
Filed under: uncultured bacterium
Lineage: Bacteria
Description: bacterial SSU rRNA
Rfam family: Bacterial small subunit ribosomal RNA
Source: RNAcentral